CACUCCUACGGGAGGCAGCAGUGGGGAAUUUUGGACAAUGGGCGAAAGCCUGAUCCAGCAAUGCCGCGUGCAGGAUGAAGGCCUUCGGGUUGUAAACUGCUUUUGUACGGAACGAAAAAGCUCCUUCUAAUACAGGGGGCCCAUGACGGUACCGUAAGAAUAAGCACCGGCUAACUACGUGCCAGCAGCCGCGGUAAUACGUAGGGUGCGAGCGUUAAUCGGAAUUACUGGGCGUAAAGCGUGCGCAGGCGGUUAUGUAAGACAGAUGUGAAAUCCCCGGGCUCAACCUGGGAACUGCAUUUGUGACUGCAUGGCUAGAGUACGGUAGAGGGGGAUGGAAUUCCGCGUGUAGCAGUGAAAUGCGUAGAUAUGCGGAGGAACACCGAUGGCGAAGGCAAUCCCCUGGACCUGUACUGACGCUCAUGCACGAAAGCGUGGGGAGCAAACAGGAUUAGAAACCCGUGUAGUCCC
Molecule: ribosomal RNA, 471 nt
Filed under: uncultured organism
Description: partial 16S ribosomal RNA
Rfam family: Bacterial small subunit ribosomal RNA
Source: RNAcentral